This 584-nucleotide ribosomal RNA is filed under the name uncultured bacterium. RNAcentral describes it as "partial 16S ribosomal RNA". It matches the Rfam family "Bacterial small subunit ribosomal RNA", at positions 355 to 932 of the family's 1533-position model. The record is from RNAcentral.
UGGGGAAUAUUGCACAAUGGGCGCAAGCCUGAUGCAGCCAUGCCGCGUGUGUGAAGAAGGCCUUCGGGUUGUAAGGCACUUUCAGCGAGGAGGAAGGUGGUGAGCUUAAUACGCUCAUCAAUUGACGUUACUCGCAGAAGAAGCACCGGCUAACUCCGUGCCAGCAGCCGCGGUAAUACGGAGGGUGCAAGCGUUAAUCGGAAUUACUGGGCGUAAAGCGCACGCAGGCGGUUCGUUAAGUCAGAUGUGAAAUCCCCGGGCUCAACCUGGGAACUGCAUUUGAAACUGGCAAGCUAGAGUCUCGUAGAGGGGGGUAGAAUUCCAGGUGUAGCGGUGAAAUGCGUAGAGAUCUGGAGGAAUACCGGUGGCGAAGGCGGCCCCCUGGACGAAGACUGACGCUCAGGUGCGAAAGCGUGGGGAGCAAAACAGGAUUAGAUAACCCUGGUAGUCCACGCUGUAAACGAUGUCGAUUUUGGAGGUUGUGCCCUUGAGGCGUGGCUUCCGGAGCUAACGCGUUAAAUCGACCGCCUGGGGAGUACGGCCGCAAGGUUAAAAACUUAAAUGAAUUGACGGGGUCAUAGCUG